This is a long non-coding RNA of Gasterosteus aculeatus aculeatus (three-spined stickleback), 1108 nucleotides long. The record is from Ensembl. Lineage: Eukaryota; Metazoa; Chordata; Actinopteri; Perciformes; Gasterosteidae.
CUAUCACCUUGGAUCAGUAAUGGUUCCAGGAUGUCAUUCUUGCAAACUUUGCAUAAAUAAUCCAUUCUCCUCACCAAGUAUUGUUACACUACAGCUUUGAGAAACGUCAGAACUAUCGCAUGACAGCGAAUAUCAAAUCUCACGAUUAAAUGCGAGACUUGAAUAUCUCCAAAAUUUUGGCCGGACUGGAGAGCGACACCCGAUGGGGGGUGGGGACUGGCACUCGGACAUGCACGGGUCAAGGUAAAAUAUAUUAAAAAAACGACAAACACUCUCGCACUGGGGACAGACACGCAGCAACACAACGGAGACACUGUCCCAACUGUGACGUCCUCGCACGCGCUCUCCCCGAUGUUUACCUCAUGUGAUGAUUUGCACGAGUGGAAUUAUUUCAUUCUCAGACACAGUUUCUGGAUUCUCUGUUCACGCAACUACGCGUGUGCCCCGACUAAAUGUUUUGCGUGCUUGUGCGCUCUCGGGUUUGGUUGCGGAUCGCGCCGUGAUGCCGCGUUAGGGGCGUAAUCUCAUGCGCACUUUCUAAAGGAGGCUGUCGCGCUCGGGGACGCGCGCUGGAGGUGAUGCUGCGGAUGCAGAAGGAGGAGGCGGAGGAUGCUGCGGCGGCCGCUCUGCGGUUUGACUGACGGGCGAACGCGCGCUAAUAAAGGGCUGUCACAGUGACACGUUCACGGACACGUGGAACAGGCAGCCAAACGUGGGACAUGCCACGAGGAAAAAAAACAACAAAUCCCCACAGCUUUGUGUACAGUUUGGUGUCAGAUUAAGAGGCUACAUCUAGUUUGAAAGUGAAGCACCAACUAUACAGCUUAUCUCUCAGACCGUUGUGCCACAACAAUUAGUGAGUAUCUCUCUGUGUUUUUGCCACCAUAACAACAGCAACAACAACAUGAUCAAACAAAGUAAUAAUGUUUAAUUUUUUUUGUACUUCCUCCAGCCUUCCGGCAGAUGUGUUAUAAACACAAACCCCGUAUGCAUGAGAGAAUGCGAGAGUGCGUGUGUGACAUCGUCUUUAGCGGUUUGACUCAUGAGGCUCGUGGUGAGAUACUAUUUGCUGAAGCAGUUUCAAGCCCCCCACGAUAAGAAGAGCAAC